Molecule: transfer RNA, 67 nt
Filed under: Marmota monax (woodchuck)
Lineage: Eukaryota; Metazoa; Chordata; Mammalia; Rodentia; Sciuridae
Description: tRNA.Ala
Source: RNAcentral
GGUUAUGGCUCAGUGGUAGAGCGCUUGUCUAGCAUGUGCAAGGCACUGGGUUCAAUUCUCAGCACCA